Long non-coding RNA from Gossypium arboreum, 621 nucleotides. RefSeq lists it as uncharacterized. The record is from RefSeq and is a predicted model, not a curated record. The transcript is spliced from 3 exons. NCBI's taxonomy places the organism in Eukaryota, Viridiplantae, Streptophyta, Magnoliopsida, Malvales, Malvaceae.
UGUGAUUAUAUCUCUCAACAAAGGCUGUGUUUGGUAACCAUGAAAACAUUUUCCAGAAAAUGUUUUCCUAAUUUUACGCUGUUUGGUUACAUGAAAAUAUUUUACAUAAGUAAAACGUUUUCAGAAACACGGUAAAAUGGGAUGCUUUUUAUGUAAAAUGUCUUAAGGAUUUUUUUUCCGUAAGACAUUUUCCAAACUCUCACUUUCCCUUGCGCCGUUCAUCUUCCUUCUUCUUCAUCCAUCCAGGUGCUUUCUCUUUCGCAUACAACCGGUAUCAUCCUUGCGUCGUUCUUCAUCUUCUCAUCCAGAAUGGGUAAGGGCAACCAAGAAGGAACCUCCAAGCAAUUCAGGUGGACAAAACCGAUGGAACAUCUUAUUCUUGAAAUUUUAGCUGAGGAGGCCCAGAAAGGAAAUAAGCCUUCUAAUACUUUCAAAGCAGCUUCUAUUAAUCGAGUUGUCGAAGCUAUUUCUGAAAAAUUUCAAGUCCAAUGCGAUGCAAAACAUGUGGAAAAUCAUUUGAGGACUGUAAAGAAACAGUGGCAGAUUAUAUGCACAAUUCAGGGUGAAAGUGGUUUUGGAUGGGAUGAUAACAUGAAAAUGAUCACAUGUGAUAGAGCGACA